UACAGAGGGGGCAAGCGUUGUUCGGAAUUACUGGGCGUAAAGGGCGCGUAGGCGGCCUUCUAAGUCGAACGUGAAAUCCCUGGGCUCAACCCAGGAACUGCGUCCGAUACUGGGAGGCUUGAAUUCGGGAGAGGGAUGCGGAAUUCCAGGUGUAGCGGUGAAAUGCGUAGAUAUCUGGAGGAACACCGGUGGCGAAGGCGGCAUCCUGGACCGGUAUUGACGCUGAGGCGCGAAAGCCAGGGGAGCAAACGGG
Molecule: ribosomal RNA, 253 nt
Filed under: uncultured bacterium
Lineage: Bacteria
Description: partial 16S ribosomal RNA
Rfam family: Bacterial small subunit ribosomal RNA
Source: RNAcentral